This 376-nucleotide long non-coding RNA is filed under the name Capsicum annuum. RNAcentral describes it as "long non-coding RNA (CANN_LNC007514)". Lineage: Eukaryota; Viridiplantae; Streptophyta; Magnoliopsida; Solanales; Solanaceae. The record is from RNAcentral.
AGGACGUUUGGAGAAUCUUGAGUAUGAUUGAUGUCGCCUUCAGAUAAGAUUAUCUUGUAUAUGUCCUCUCCUUUUGUUUUUCCCCUCAGAACUUAGCGUUUAUCCCACCGGCCUUGACUUUUUCACGAGCUGUACAGUGAAUCUCUACCUUCCCCAAAUAAUUGGGCAUGAUGAAGCAUCAUUUGUGAAAAUUCUUGUGCCAAUUGGUUUAGCUAGUUGAUCCAUACCUAAUUGGUCUGAUUUCCAUGACGACUGACAAGGCUAAACUUGCCGACUGAAGAGAGCACUGAAUCAUUCUAAAGGGGAAGUUGCAUUUUAAGGCAUAAGUUGCGUCGUUUUAGAUAUAUAGCUUUGAUACAGGAGAAAGACGAUGCAA